AAAUUGAAGAGUUUGAUCAUGGCUCAGAUUGAACGCUGGCGGCAGGCCUAACACAUGCAAGUCGAACGGUAACAGGAAGCAGCUUGCUGCUUUGCUGACGAGUGGCGGACGGGUGAGUAAUGUCUGGGAAACUGCCUGAUGGAGGGGGAUAACUACUGGAAACGGUGGCUAAUACCGCAUAAUGUCGCAAGACCAAAGAGGGGGACCUUCGGGCCUCUUGCCAUCAGAUGUGCCCAGAUGGGAUUAGCUUGUUGGUGAGGUAACGGCUCACCAAGGCGACGAUCCCUAGCUGGUCUGAGAGGAUGACCAGCCACACUGGAACUGAGACACGGUCCAGACUCCUACGGGAGGCAGCAGUGGGGAAUAUUGCACAAUGGGCGCAAGCCUGAUGCAGCCAUGCCGCGUGUAUGAAGAAGGCCUUCGGGUUGUAAAGUACUUUCAGCGGGGAGGAAGGUGUUGUGGUUAAUAACCGCAGCAAUUGACGUUACCCGCAGAAGAAGCACCGGCUAACUCCGUGCCAGCAGCCGCGGUAAUACGGAGGGUGCAAGCGUUAAUCGGAAUUACUGGGCGUAAAGCGCACGCAGGCGGUCUGUCAAGUCGGAUGUGAAAUCCCCGGGCUCAACCUGGGAACUGCAUUCGAAACUGGCAGGCUUGAGUCUUGUAGAGGGGGGUAGAAUUCCAGGUGUAGCGGUGAAAUGCGUAGAGAUCUGGAGGAAUACCGGUGGCGAAGGCGGCCCCCUGGACAAAGACUGACGCUCAGGUGCGAAAGCGUGGGGAGCAAACAGGAUUAGAUACCCUGGUAGUCCACGCCGUAAACGAUGUCUACUUGGAGGUUGUGCCCUUGAGGCGUGGCUUCCGGAGCUAACGCGUUAAGUAGACCGCCUGGGGAGUACGGCCGCAAGGUUAAAACUCAAAUGAAUUGACGGGGGCCCGCACAAGCGGUGGAGCAUGUGGUUUAAUUCGAUGCAACGCGAAGAACCUUACCUGGUCUUGACAUCCACAGAACUUUCCAGAGAUGGAUUGGUGCCUUCGGGAACUGUGAGACAGGUGCUGCAUGGCUGUCGUCAGCUCGUGUUGUGAAAUGUUGGGUUAAGUCCCGCAACGAGCGCAACCCUUAUCCUUUGUUGCCAGCGGUUAGGCCGGGAACUCAAAGGAGACUGCCAGUGAUAAACUGGAGGAAGGUGGGGAUGACGUCAAGUCAUCAUGGCCCUUACGACCAGGGCUACACACGUGCUACAAUGGCGCAUACAAAGAGAAGCGACCUCGCGAGAGCAAGCGGACCUCAUAAAGUGCGUCGUAGUCCGGAUUGGAGUCUGCAACUCGACUCCAUGAAGUCGGAAUCGCUAGUAAUCGUGGAUCAGAAUGCCACGGUGAAUACGUUCCCGGGCCUUGUACACACCGCCCGUCACACCAUGGGAGUGGGUUGCAAAAGAAGUAGGUAGCUUAACCUUCGGGAGGGCGCUUACCACUUUGUGAUUCAUGACUGGGGUGAAGUCGUAACAAGGUAACCGUAGGGGAACCUGCGGUUGGAUCACCUCCUUA
Molecule: ribosomal RNA, 1542 nt
Filed under: Salmonella enterica subsp. enterica serovar Bredeney
Lineage: Bacteria; Pseudomonadati; Pseudomonadota; Gammaproteobacteria; Enterobacterales; Enterobacteriaceae
Description: bacterial SSU rRNA
Rfam family: Bacterial small subunit ribosomal RNA
Source: RNAcentral